Nomascus leucogenys (northern white-cheeked gibbon) is the source of this 2608-nucleotide RNA transcript. It is a transcript of the gene named integrator complex subunit 14, with no coding region annotated. The transcript is spliced from 13 exons. The record is from RefSeq and is a predicted model, not a curated record. NCBI's taxonomy places the organism in Eukaryota, Metazoa, Chordata, Mammalia, Primates, Hylobatidae.
GCGGACGGAAAGUUUAUGCAGACGGACUGUGUCCGGCGAUGGGCACGGGGUGAGUGGGGAGGCCGAGGGCCCGGGGCUGCCUUUCGUUGCUUGUUGGGGUUACAGGUGAAGGCGUUAGGGGUGAAGAACAACCCAGGGCCAGCGCUUGGCCUUCCCGCCACCGUGGCGGCCGCCCCGCGCCGUCUGUGAGGCGCCAGUUCCGGGGUGCUGCUCCCGGCCUCCCCUCGCUCUGAGGCUCGGGGUCCCCAGCUCCGCGUCAGCUGCACGAUUUCGCCCUCUGCUCAGCCCCCUUCUGUCCUCUCUUUCCCCUCAAGAGAGAUUUCCAGAUCCCACAUUUUCUUGGCUGAUUUUUCAGCAUUUCUCUGUUUAUAGCUGUCUGUUUGCAUUCUGAUUGGGAACACUGGGAUCAUUUUCAUCAUGCCGACAGUGGUGGUAAUGGAUGUAUCCCUUUCCAUGACCCGACCUGUGUCUAUUGAGGGGUCCGAGGAAUACCAGCGUAAGCACCUAGCAGCCCAUGGUUUAACGAUGCUGUUUGAGCACAUGGCCACAAAUUACAAGCUUGAAUUUACAGCACUUGUGGUUUUUUCAUCACUUUGGGAGUUGAUGGUCCCCUUCACGAGAGAUUAUAAUACCCUACAGGAAGCACUAAGUAAUAUGGAUGAUUAUGACAAAACCUGCUUGGAGUCUGCAUUAGUUGGUGUUUGCAAUAUCGUUCAGCAAGAAUGGGGUGGUGCAAUUCCUUGCCAGGUUGUCCUGGUGACAGACGGCUGUCUUGGCAUUGGUAGAGGGUCACUACGACAUUCCCUAGCCACUCAAAAUCAACGAAGUGAGAGCAACAGGUUUCCACUACCUUUUCCUUUCCCAUCUAAGUUAUAUAUCAUGUGCAUGGCGAAUUUGGAGGAGCUCCAGAGCACCGAUUCCUUGGAAUGCCUUGAACGUCUCAUAGAUUUAAACAAUGGUGAAGGGCAGAUUUUUACUAUUGAUGGCCCCCUGUGCUUGAAGAAUGUCCAGUCUAUGUUUGGAAAACUGAUAGAUCUGGCAUAUACGCCUUUCCAUGCUGUUCUCAAGUGUGGCCACCUAACUGCUGAUGUACAAGUCUUCCCCAGGCCAGAACCUUUUGUUGUAGAUGAAGAAAUUGAUCCUAUCCCUAAAGUCAUUAACACAGAUUUGGAAAUAGUGGGAUUUAUUGAUAUAGCUGAUAUUUCAAGUCCCCCAGUUCUGUCCAGACAUCUGGUCUUACCUAUAGCACUUAACAAAGAAGGUGAUGAGGUGGGUACUGGCAUCACUGAUGACAAUGAAGAUGAAAAUUCAGCCAAUCAGAUUGCAGGCAAAAUACCCAACUUUUGUGUCCUGCUCCAUGGUAGCCUAAAAGUGGAAGGAAUGGUAGCGAUUGUUCAAUUAGGUCCUGAAUGGCAUGGAAUGCUCUACUCCCAAGCUGACAGCAAGAAGAAAUCAAACCUCAUGAUGUCUCUCUUUGAGCCUGGCCCAGAACCUCUCCCAUGGCUAGGGAAAAUGGCACAGUUGGGUCCUAUUUCAGAUGCUAAAGAAAACCCUUAUGGCGAGGAUGACAAUAAGAGCCCAUUCCCCCUGCAGCCCAAAAACAAACGCAGUUAUGCCCAGAAUGUGACUGUCUGGAUCAAACCUAGCGGCCUGCAGACAGAUGUACAGAAGAUUUUAAGAAAUGCAAGGAAACUACCUGAAAAAACACAGACAUUCUAUAAGGAGCUGAACCGUUUGCGAAAGGCCGCUCUAGCCUUUGGUUUCCUGGACCUGCUGAAAGGGGUGGCUGACAUGCUGGAAAGGGAAUGCACACUGCUGCCUGACACAGCCCACCCUGAUGCUGCAUUCCAGCUGACCCAUGCUGCCCAACAGCUCAAGCUGGCCAGUACCGGCACCUCUGAGUACGCCGCUUAUGACCAGAACAUCACACCUUUGCACACGGACUUCUCUGGGAGCAGCACUGAAAGAAUUUGAAACUGACUUUUGGAGCUUUCCUUCUUUUUUCAUUUCAACUGAAAAUGAUUUAGGUAAAAACCUUUCCAGUAUGUUCACCUCUAGAAUAGCCACCCAAAGACCUUCCUGAGGCUGCCUCAGAAGCACCACUUGCUGUUUUGAAUGACUCUACUAGUAUGAGAAGGAUGUGAAGGUGGUUGGCUGGUUGGGCUUUAACUUCCUGGGAUUCAUAAUUUUUAAGCUUGGAAGAUAGCUGCUGUUCCCAUGAUGGGCACAUUUCCUGAGAAGCUUGAAUGACUGAUGAGCAUAGAACACCCCUGCCUUCCUCAAGAAACCUGACCGGCAAGGGCUCUCUGACUUCCUGAAAGCUUCGCCUCUUCUCUCGUUUAUAUCUCAACUGUAAGGGCAUUUUCAAGCUUCUGUUCAUGGAAUGAGCAACUCAGACUUUCUGGAGCUUGCUGACACUAAGUGCUGAAACACCACCACUAAGUUUCAGAACUUUCCUUAGAACUUGGGCAAAAUGUGGUAACUCUUAGGUGCUUUUGGUAUCUCUUGAGAUUCUAACUUUUAAAGAGCAACCAUUAAUGUGUAAAAUGAGUCCUAUUUCUUCAAGGUUUUUUUUAAAUGAAAAUAAAAUAUUUGAUUUUCUAGAAAA